Molecule: non-coding RNA, 218 nt
Organism: Pelobates cultripes (western spadefoot toad)
Lineage: Eukaryota; Metazoa; Chordata; Amphibia; Anura; Pelobatidae
Source: the annotation of a GenBank genome assembly
CUGGACGGGGAGCUCUCCUCCUCUGUUCCGCCCCGUCGGCUGAAUGCGCACGCGCGGCAAGAGCUGCGCGCGCAUUCAGCCGGUCGCAUAGGAAAGCAUUUACAAUGCUUUCCUAUGGACACUGGCGUGCUCUCACUGUGAAAAUCACAGUGAGAAGCACGCAAGCGCCUCUAGUGGCUGUCAAUGAGACAGACACUAGAGGAUUAGGGGGAAGGCUU